This 212-nucleotide unclassified non-coding RNA is filed under the name Hevea brasiliensis (rubber tree). The record is from RNAcentral. Lineage: Eukaryota; Viridiplantae; Streptophyta; Magnoliopsida; Malpighiales; Euphorbiaceae.
AGGAAAGGUUCUUUAGAAAACAACUGCAAAAGCAGCUUCUCAUAAGCUGUUUUUUCAAUGUCAGGCUGGAUCAAGGCAAGGUCACUUUCAGCCAUUACAAUCAACCCAACAAAGACCGCAAUUAACAAAAUUUGUAUUAUGAUAUCAGUACCCAUCACAAUAUCCUCCUGUCCUUUUGCUACUGAUUUGCAGGCAACAACGUAUUGUCUUAG